RNAcentral lists this long non-coding RNA (847 nucleotides) under Numida meleagris (helmeted guineafowl). Its description in RNAcentral is "lncRNA (ENSNMEG00000017871.1)". Lineage: Eukaryota; Metazoa; Chordata; Aves; Galliformes; Numididae. The record is from RNAcentral.
CUGAGGCUUUGUAUUCCUCUCAGUUGCUUAUAAGUAACCCCUACUGACUCCAGUACUGUCCUAAUAUAACCUGAGUCACUGCAGCAUUUUCCAUAGCAGAGGCUUGGUCCUGUGCUCUCUUCAAGGGUAUCUACUUUCACAGAAUUAAGGUAUAGAGGAAGGGCUCUCAGCUGGCAUCAAGGCCCUGAGAGGUGGGUGAUUACAUCAACCAUUUCAGGAUGUGGUGGAACAAGCAGUAAGAUUGUGUUCCAUUAACUCAAGAAUGGAAACCACUGGAACUAGGACUGCUCUGAGUCUCCAUUUUCAGCUUCAUCACCAUCUCAGGCAGCCAUAUUUACGAUCUUGCUUUUGUUCUAUGUGAAAAAAUUCAGACAGUAGCUCAGAGUUGAGCAGGGACAUUUCAUAACCUUCCGUGCUUUGGCAGGGCGGGAAAACUCUUCCCACACUGGAUCUGUGUGGGACUGUUAUAUUUUCAACUGCAGUUCUAUUCAGCGUCCUGCCACAGCGUGAUGCCCGGUGUGAGGCAUUACAGCGGCACAGCAGGCCUCCUCACAGAGUGCCCUAUGGCCAGAGAGCGGGAGCUUACAACCAAAAUAACUGCAGAACAUCACAUAGAUUCUGCACGAACAGCUCCUUCUGACUUCUCUUCUACGUGGUUUUUACAGGGUCACUGUGCUAACUGUGAAUUUGGGUCAAGGACCUGAGUGGGUAAGGUGGCCUCGUUUAUCUUCAGCCAAGGUUGAGACAACAGUCAUCAGUCCAUUUGACUCCAGCUGUGAAGUGAACAACUUACUUUGUUUUAGUAAUGAUUUGAGAGGCUCAUCAAUAAAGUUACCAAUACUCUUCA